UACGUAGGGUGCAAGCGUUGUCCGGAAUUAUUGGGCGUAAAGAGCUCGUAGGCGGUUUGUUGCGUCGGCUGUGAAAUCCCGAGGCUCAACCUCGGGUCUGCAGUCGAUACGAGCAAACUAGAGUGUUGCAGGGGAGACUGGAAUUCCUGGUGUAGCGGUGAAAUGCGCAGAUAUCAGGAGGAACACCGGUGGCGAAGGCGGGUCUCUGGGCAACAACUGACGCUGAGGAGCGAAAGCGUGGGUAGCGAACAGG
This 253-nucleotide ribosomal RNA is filed under the name uncultured bacterium. Its description in RNAcentral is "partial 16S ribosomal RNA". It matches the Rfam family "Bacterial small subunit ribosomal RNA", at positions 524 to 776 of the family's 1533-position model. The record is from RNAcentral.